CUCUGAAUCACUAACUUCUAAAUGCCAUGGGAGAAAAAGCAAUUCAUUUACUAAAAGACAUGUAUUCAGCUUGCAGGUUUUUUAAAUAAGCAGUAUCACAUGAAUAUUGUCAUUUCGAUUACCCAAGGACAAAUCACAGACUUCGAGUCACCCAUCAACCCACAGACUGAGGGCCGGACUGAAUUAUGGAUUGGUAUAAAUGAAGCGUUCUUUAACCAAUCUGAAGUUCCACUCCAGCACCAUGCAUUUGCAUGAAUGAAACUGGGAUUCUGUUCACACCAGAGAGGAAAAGCUGUAGAGGGGCACGUUUUAGACCACAGUAGCCCGUCCGGCCUGAAGAUGGAUGGCUGUGUUAGUGGCACUUUGAUUAACAGCUCCAUCCGGACUUUGGCUGGUGGCUCACCAGUCUGGAGCCGCUCCAAGGAGACCCCACUAGCCCAGCUGUGCUGAAGCAGGCAAGGCCUCUGCUGAUGACUGCAGUGGCAGGAAAAUCCAUCUUCCUGCACUGAGCCUCAAAUGUAUUUUCCCCUUCUACAUACACUGUGUGAUUGAGGAUUUAGUGCAUGUUCUGAUGAAUACACACACAAACACACUCAUCAUUUCUCUUUCACCUAAAUGGCACCUCAUCUCAAUGCAAUGUUGAUGGAAUCAGCACUGCUGAUGUGCAAAGCAGAACUUCGCUAAUGAUUCUUCUCCGUGCCGCCAUCAACACAUCAUUCAGUGCUCCUUUCGAUGAUUUCACCAUUAUGAGGGUGAUAAAAGAGCCCUGGUGAAUUUCAAUGCAACAUAUUUUGGAAGGGAAUUCUACUGAAAGACCCUUCCAGCAAGCACUGUGUUAAAAUAAACACAUACAAGAUAAGUAUACUGCCAGCUGGCUAAAGAUAAGAGGAGAAUUUGACAAGAGAGAGAGAAAAUGAACAAUGUAAGCAGGUAGACAGAGAGGAGAGCAGCAUUUCCUGUUUUUGUAUGGGGUGUCCCACAUCAUUUGAGUUGACUCCAUGCUGAACUUAAUUUAUUAAUCCUAAUUUCACAAUGAGUCAAACAGUUGUUCACUUUGAGCAUACAUAUGCACUCUGGUGCUCUUUAUUAUUAGGUCUGCAUGCUAGAUAAAGUGUGUUUAAGAGGCUGGAUACAGCCAAUUUACCAGUAAUCCUCUUUUUUCAUCAUUGUUAAAGGGGACAUAACACACUUGCACAACUCUGUUGCUGCCCUGGAGAAACAGACUGCAUCCACUGUUUCUCAUGACAUGAGAAAACAAAUUUCCCUUGAUCUUUUGACACAGAAGAGGUCUUUGUAUGACUGAAUAGUCAUCUUCUCACCAUAGGCCCCGCCCACUGGCGUUCAGUCGCUUAACAGCUUGAUACUUCAUUACGCUGCCACUAUCUUGUCUACACUGGAUACAGUAUACAGAUGCACGUCCACUUUCUGGCACAGUCCACUCGAUUGAGUCUGUCGUCAGUUGGACAAAUGGAGUGAAAGAACGUUCACUGUGACGCAUUUGGUUUAAACAGCUCGUUCGUGUCUUUGUACAGAUAUCAGAAGGAUCCCAGCGUAAGGAGCAAGUGGAUAGUUUAUUUUUAAUGGCUUUGUGGUAUCGUGUCUAAGGUUUGUUUGGAGGAUUUUGAGGCACAGCUUUAUGGAGAGUUCACAAAGAAACAUUUGUUGAAAGUACUAAAUCUGACUGCAGCUGCAUCACAAACUGUAAGUAAAUUAUUUCACAACAAAAACCUGCCUAAUUGCUACUUAAAACUAGCCCAGUUGCUUUUUGGUGGGGGUCCACUGAUAAAAUUCACAUUCCAGGGGAAAAAUAUCAUGUUAUUGGAGUCGCUUAACCCCACGGUCAUGAAAAACAACCCACGGCAACAGUGUUAAAAUAGCCCAAUUCUGCUGGAAAACCGUGGAUUUGGCAACACUGUAGAAGUGCCCAUAUAAGGAAUUCCAUCCUUUAUAAUGUCAUGCAUCACCAUACACGAAAGAGAGUCUUUAUUCAACUGAAGUAAGCCUAUGGGUGAGACUUCCGAUUCAUUAUCUGCUAUAGAAAAAUAACGAGAAGAAGAAUAACAACACACAGUAAAUGGUACAACACUAGAAACCAGUGUGUUCAUAAUUAAGAUAAUACAUUAAAAUAAUAUGGUAAGACACACCAUUUUGCAAAUUAAGCAGCAAAACAAGCUGUUUUGAACAGAUAAAAAUAGCUGGACGCGGAUGAGACCAGAAGCUAGACCCAUAAAAUUUACAAAUGACUGUGCCCACUCUUACGGGAAGAAAACGGUGGAUAUGAAUCUUGCAUGAUUUAGCAUGAGAAUCCAGCUCUUUAACUGUGUAAAUAAGUCAGAAUGCGUAAAAUAGCAUUAGACAUCCUCUUUAAAGGUUUUGGUUUGGAUAUGUUGAGACACAAGUUUGUCUUCAGCACUUAAUCAUUCAGAAGAACUUAAAUCAGCAGAAUUUGCAGCAGCUCCAUUUUGGGAGUCACUCCUGUUUCAAAAGACUGCUUGCCUUUUUAAAUUUAUAUUUGACACAUCUUUAAUGUAUUUGCCCUUAUCAACAGUGGCCAGGAAAUUGGCUUUUUAUAUGAAAUACUGUAAUCUUUUCAUUUAAUAACCUUUUUGUUUUUUUCAGGAAACUUUAUUGCCCUGGUAUGUAAUGGGAAUUAUGAUCAGUUAUGAGUAAAGGAAAGGUCUGUGGGUGAGAGAGGCAUCUCUUUUAUUCGGAUGGCUCACUUCUGCAAUAUUUCUGUCAUGAACAACAUUAGCAAUCUGGGACUUGAUGUCUCACAAAAUUAAAAGUCUAAGGAUGAAGCGACCUGUGGAAAAUUGUCACUUUCUACCUCCCUUUCUUCAAAACCAAUAUGUUAAAUGAGUGUUUAUAUCCCAGAUGUGCAAUCAGGUCACGGUUAGAUGGACAAAGAGCUGGCCCUUAACCAGUAGGCAUGUGUGUGUAAUGUGUGAGCGAAGUUGGGAUUCGUUCAUUCGCUCGAGAUGGUCUCAUUUCCCUUCCCUCCCUCCCCGUAGACCGACUCUGGAAUGAGACCAGCAUUCCAAAUAUCCAUGACUGCAAGCGAUGUAAUCCAUUAGCUUAGCUUGCAGGAACCACUGUUCUGUGACACACUGUGAGGAAACAGAUCUGAAUGAUUCCUGAUGGAGCAACACUGUAUAAAACGCAAGCCCAGAUUGUAAAAGACUCCUAAAUGGCUCAUCUCAUUAUUUUGAUUGGUUUGAAGACUUUGCCUGAAACACAAACCUGUAUGCCAACCUCAAGAGGUCUUGAUUCACAUUUAAAGUUCAUGAUCAUCUAUAAAUCAGUGUGACCUUUUAGAAGGAGUCUUCAUUGCUUUGUUUUAGCGAAAGGUAUAUUGAUGUUUCUGUUCAUUUCCAAGUUGAAAUAACAACAAUCAGACAGCUUCAGACAGUCUGUGUUAUUUUGUGUUAAUUCAUCUGUCUCUUGGUAAUAUGGUGAAUACUAAUAGUGGUAUGGUCCAGUGUCUGUCUGGUAAAUAACCCUAAAAGUUAACAAAAUUGUCAUUUUUCCUAAACGGAUAGUUGAAAUGUUGAAAAUUCUGUCAUUAAUUACUCACCCUUGUGUCGUUCCA
Long non-coding RNA from Labeo rohita (rohu), 3589 nucleotides. RefSeq lists it as uncharacterized. NCBI's taxonomy places the organism in Eukaryota, Metazoa, Chordata, Actinopteri, Cypriniformes, Cyprinidae. The transcript has 3 exons. The record is from RefSeq and is a predicted model, not a curated record.